Molecule: non-coding RNA, 45 nt
Filed under: Echinostoma caproni
Lineage: Eukaryota; Metazoa; Platyhelminthes; Trematoda; Plagiorchiida; Echinostomatidae
Source: RNAcentral
UCACUGCUGACGAGUCCCAAAUAAGACGAAACAGCUGUCCAGUGC